Molecule: long non-coding RNA, 514 nt
Organism: Neofelis nebulosa (Clouded leopard)
Lineage: Eukaryota; Metazoa; Chordata; Mammalia; Carnivora; Felidae
Exons: 3
Source: RefSeq, a predicted model, not a curated record
CCCCCAACUGAUUAAAGAUAAACUGAUAAAGAACAUAUCUGAUCAGGGAAAAAAAAAUACUUCCGUUCUAGGGUGGGAAUUUUUUCGCCUCACGAUUGCUUCCUUAUCCAUGACCCAUUCAGAUGACUGAGCCAAGGUACUCCAAGGAAUAUUUGGACCUGCUAAUCUGAUGGUACUUAAUCUUUUAAAAGAACUACAAGGUCUGGAAGUGCCUUCUUUAAGGAAGCAACAAGAUUUUAACUAUCGUGUGUUAAAAAUUAAGGAAUAUGUCUAAUGAGACACUGUCAACAGAAUUGGUUCUAUGUUGGCCCUGAACCACACAAAAUCAGCUCAAGCUGAUGCUCAACACAGCUGAAUCCACAGAGCCUUCUUAUGAAUCUGAAUUGUCCCUGAUGAAAAUGGGCAGGAAGAGAGACAUUUUACUGAUGAAUUAAGAAGAAGCUAUAAGGAAAUACCAAUGUUUUUUCCUAAAAUCAAAUGAUGUGUUCGGGGAACAAUAUAAAAUUAAGAUAUU